UUAAGCUUAAAAAGCGCGUGCAACUGUGGUUAGAACACAGAACAAAACCGAACCACAAAACAGACACGUACGUCACACUAGUGUGACACUUUGGUAGAGUGGAAAGUGAGCCGUGGAGCUAAAAAAUAAAGUAUCACCCUCGAACUAAUACUCUGUUGCUCGGCUCUUUUCUGCCGACCUGCAUCAUGAUCUGUUGGUGAAGCGGAUCCCUGCUACAACUCAAAGUUAAUGAAAACUAAUCACUUGUUUGUUCACCCGGGGGGUUGUGGCUUUACGGCCGCGGGAUGGUUCAUCAAUUGAUCUACCUCCUGCAUUGCCUCACCGCCGCUCAGCCCGCACCGUCUGCCGCACUUGACUGACCGCCGUGAAAUUGUCAUCGCGGAAACAAAAAGAGAUUACCACGGUCGUACCACGCCACGCUCGUCCCUGCAGAGCUUACCUUCCUGUACAAUACUAUCCUCAACACCCUGUGCACACCCACCCGACCGAGACCGAGACACAUUUGACAAAUGGAAUCGAAAAAGCGAUUGCCGAUAUUUAUUGCCCCCGAUGUACGGGAUCGGGACCCCACUUCACCAACGCACCCCUACCCAGGCGAAGGCAGUAUCGGGGUGCAUCAUACCGUUUGGAAAAUUGUGGAAGGUGGCUUUUGUGACGCGUCGUUGCUGCACCCCCCAAGCGCAAAACGGUCAGAAUUAAUGAUAACGAUAAAUUUAACGUCCCCUUAACGUCCCCUUAUCGCAAAGGGGAGUGGGAAGGGAAAGGGCUGCAACAAAUGAGCUCGCGUCACGCAUGCAGCCUUGCGCACCACCGUUGCAGGCCCAAUCUGUGUACCGGUGUUACGGUUCACGGGCAGGCUCGGAGGCUUUGUGUAAGUUUUUAAUUUAUUUUAUCCACCAGAGCCGAGCUUUUAAUCUCCGAUCGAAUGAUAGCUGGUGGUUGAGUUUUGGGUUCGCUUUUGUGCUGAGGGUGGGUAGGGAUGUAUGUACUAUUUACGGUGGCUCUUUUGCAGCCGAACUCUCAAGGGAUAGAAAAUUAUUCACUCAUCGGUGAUUGAAUAUUCAAUUAUAAAGGUAACACUUGGCUGUUGGUGGCGCGGCCUUGUAAAUCAUUCAUGGAAAAAUAAUUAACUUUUUUGUUUCGGUCUCCCCCGACAAUCCCGUGGAAUGAUUAUUGGGCAUCAAUUGCUGUAAUUAUUAGUCUGGACUGGUUUACAACUGUAUGUGCGGUUUAACGGCAUUGCAUUCCAAUAAUUAACCGCCCAGUGCUUGGAAGCGAUAAAAUAAACAAGGCAGAGUUAAUAUAGCAUAUAAAAUUCCGAAUUGCUUUCAUAGACAGCCCUCUUAGAAGUGCCUAUUAACGUAAAGUUUGUACCCCGUUCAAAUCUGCAGCGUCCAUGGACACCAAACAAUUGCGAAGAAGUUCAUUCACAAAAUGUAAAAAUGAGUAAUGUUCGUAGAACUCGCGCAGAUUAUUUCAGUUGGAAAAUGCUUUUCGAAAGAAACACCAGUAAUGUUCAUAUUGACUAGUAUGGCAAACGGAAAAGGAAACAAUUGCAGGCUCAGAAUAGGCAAUGAUUCCAGUACCAGUAUAGUUAUACUAUUAGUUCCAUUAUCAGGACAUAUUCAGUUAUAUUUCAACCCCCGGACUCAAAUCGGCUGUAGUUCCAGGAUCGGUGUUAGUUCGAUAUUCGAGGACUGGAACAAGUUGAUGAUUAGGUACUGUACCUGUACAACUUCAGAUUCAGCACCAGGACAGGGACAUGCCCGAUUGCGAACGAAAGUUGCCCGCUGAUGGGAUAGCUGAUACGAUCGGAUAGCUAAAUUCCAAGUGGAUCCUAUUGGUAUUGCAUAUUCCUCAAGAGUAGUCUGAGGAGGUCAAGGUUCGUUAGUCAAAGGGCCCCAACUUCCAUCGUUCACGAUCCACGAGACCCCCAAAUCUACGAGGCACCGGGCAACCAAUGUUGAAUUCGCUACUGCAUAUUGUUAGAAUAGAUAAACACUUUUUACUUGAACGGCAUGAAUUUUAGUUGAACGCCCUAUAGUUCAAUUCAAAGACAAAAAAAGAUAGACAGUUCAAUAAAAACACUUCCGAUUGUAUGACGACCCCGA
Anopheles arabiensis is the source of this 2111-nucleotide long non-coding RNA. RefSeq lists it as uncharacterized. Lineage: Eukaryota; Metazoa; Arthropoda; Insecta; Diptera; Culicidae. The transcript is spliced from 3 exons. The record is from RefSeq and is a predicted model, not a curated record.